Molecule: ribosomal RNA, 551 nt
Filed under: uncultured archaeon
Lineage: Archaea
Description: bacterial SSU rRNA
Rfam family: Archaeal small subunit ribosomal RNA
Source: RNAcentral
CGGGGUGCAGCAGGCGCGAAACCUCUGCAAUAGGCGAAAGCCUGACAGGGUUACUCUGAGUGACUUUCGCUAAGAAAGUCUUUUGGCACCUCUAAAAAGGGUGCAGAAUAAGGGGUGGGCAAGUCUGGUGUCAGCCGCCGCGGUAAUACCAGCACCCCGAGUGGUCGGGACGAUUAUUGGGCCUAAAGCAUCCGUAGCCGGUUCUGCAAGUCCCCCGUUAAAUCCAGCUGCUCAACAGAUGGGCCGCGGAGGAUACUACAGAGCUAGGAGGCAGGAGAGGCAAGCGGUACUCAGUGGGUAGGGGUAAAAUCCGUUGAUCCAUUGAAGACCACCAGUGGCGAAGGCGGCUUGCCAGAAUGCGCUCGACGGUGAGGGAUGAAAGCUGGGGGAGCAAACCGGAUUAGAUACCCGGGUAGUCCCAGCCGUAAACGAUGCAGACUCGGUGAUGGGUUGGCUUCGCGCUAACCCAGUGCCGCAGGGAAGCCGUUAAGUCUGCCGCCUGGGUAGUACGGUCGCAAGACUGAAACUUAAAGGAAUUGGCGGGGGAGCAC